GCCUUCGUGGUGUAGUGGUCAACACGCUGGGUGCGUAUUCCGGAGGCCCCUGGUUCGAGUCCCGUCGAAGGCG
Non-coding RNA from Stegodyphus mimosarum, 73 nucleotides. Lineage: Eukaryota; Metazoa; Arthropoda; Arachnida; Araneae; Eresidae. The record is from Rfam.